CAGCAGCCACGGGAAUACGUAGGGUGCAAGCGUUAAUUGGAAUUACUGGGCGUAAAGCGUGCGCAGGCGGUUUGUUAAGACAGAUGUGAAAUCCCCGGGCUCAACCUGGGAACUGCAUUUGUGACUGGCAAGCUAGAGUGUGGCAGAGGGGGGUGGAAUUCCGCGUGUAGCAGUGAAAUGCGUAGAUAUGCGGAGGAACACCGAUGGCGAGGGCAGCCCCCUGGGCCAACACUGACGCUCAUGCACGAAAGCGUGGGGAGCAAACAGGAUUAGAGACCCGCGUAGUCCCUGUCUCUUAUAC
Molecule: ribosomal RNA, 301 nt
Filed under: uncultured bacterium
Lineage: Bacteria
Description: partial 16S ribosomal RNA
Rfam family: Bacterial small subunit ribosomal RNA
Source: RNAcentral